GAAUAUUGGACAAUGGGGGGAACCCUGAUCCAGCCAUGCCGCGUGUGUGAAGAAGGCCUUUUGGUUGUAAAGCACUUUAAGCGAGGAGGAGGCUACUCUAGUUAAUACCUAGGGAUAGUGGCCGUUACUCGCAGAAUAAGCACCGGCUAACCCUGUGCCAGCAGACGCGGUAAUACAGAGGGUGCAAGCGUUAAUCGGAUUGACUGGGCGGAAAGCGCGAGUAGGGGGCCAAUUAAGGCAAAUGGGAAAUCCCCGAGCUGAACUUGGGAAUUGCAUUCGAGACUGGUUGGCUAGAGUAUGGGAGAGGAUGGUAGAAUUCCAGGUGUAGCGGUGAAAUGCGUAGAGAUCUGGAGGAAUACCGAUGGCGAAGGCAGCCAUCUGGCCUAAUACUGACACUGAGGUGCGAAAGCAUGGGGAGCAAACA
Molecule: ribosomal RNA, 424 nt
Filed under: uncultured bacterium
Lineage: Bacteria
Description: partial 16S ribosomal RNA
Rfam family: Bacterial small subunit ribosomal RNA
Source: RNAcentral